This 253-nucleotide ribosomal RNA is filed under the name uncultured bacterium. RNAcentral describes it as "partial 16S ribosomal RNA". It matches the Rfam family "Bacterial small subunit ribosomal RNA", at positions 524 to 776 of the family's 1533-position model. The record is from RNAcentral.
UACGUAGGGGGCAAGCGUUAUCCGGAUUUACUGGGUGUAAAGGGAGCGUAGACGGCAGGGCAAGUCUGGAGUGGAAGGCGGGGGCUCAACCCCCGGACUGCUCUGGAAACUGCCAGGCUGGAGUGCAGGAGAGGUAAGUGGAAUUCCUAGUGUAGCGGUGAAAUGCGUAGAUAUUAGGAGGAACACCAGUGGCGAAGGCGGCUUACUGGACUGUAACUGACGUUGAGGCUCGAAAGCGUGGGGAGCAAACAGG